AAUAAGUCUAAAACCUAUUCUCAACUAGUUUUCUUCCAUCGUACCCUAAUCAAGGAUUUGUAGAUCUUUUAAGACAGCUCCUUCCAUAUGGUUUUAUGUCUACCCCAUCCCCUUUUAACAUCUUUAUUCAUCAUAGUUUUAUACCUAAGGACAAUAUAUCCGUAUGUCGACUCAGGACAUUGACUAAAUCAUCUCAAGCAAUCUUCUCUCAGUUUAUCCUCAAUACAUGCUACUUGCACCUUCUGGCAAAUACAACUGUUAGAAGUGUAAAUAUAGU
RNAcentral lists this long non-coding RNA (277 nucleotides) under Nicotiana benthamiana. RNAcentral describes it as "long non-coding RNA (NBEN_LNC018374)". Lineage: Eukaryota; Viridiplantae; Streptophyta; Magnoliopsida; Solanales; Solanaceae. The record is from RNAcentral.